GGGGGGGGGCAAGCGUUGUUCGGAAUUACUGGGCGUAAAGGGCGCGCAGGCGGCCUGGGCAAGUCCUUCGUGAAAUCCCACAGCUCAACUGUGGAACUGCGGAGGAUACUGCUAGGCUUGAGUCCGGGAGAGGGGAGUGGAAUUCCCAGUGUAGCGGUGAAAUGCGUAGAUAUUGGGAGGAACACCAGUGGCGAAGGCGGCUCCCUGGACCGGUACUGACGCUGAGGCGCGAAAGCUAGGGGAGCAAACGGGAUUAGAUACCCCGGUAGUCCUAGCUGUAAACGUUGAGCACUUGGUGUGGCGGGUGUCGACCCCUGCCGUGCCGAAGCUAACGCAUUAAGUGCUCCGCCUGGGGAGUACGGUCGCAAAGGCUG
This 374-nucleotide ribosomal RNA is filed under the name uncultured organism. Its description in RNAcentral is "partial 16S ribosomal RNA". It matches the Rfam family "Bacterial small subunit ribosomal RNA", at positions 526 to 896 of the family's 1533-position model. The record is from RNAcentral.